RNAcentral lists this ribosomal RNA (599 nucleotides) under Antennella confusa. RNAcentral's name for it is "partial 16S ribosomal RNA". It matches the Rfam family "Bacterial large subunit ribosomal RNA", at positions 1852 to 2607 of the family's 2925-position model. The record is from RNAcentral. Lineage: Eukaryota; Metazoa; Cnidaria; Hydrozoa; Leptothecata; Halopterididae.
GUGUAAUCUGCCCAGUGAUUAUACAGCAUAAUAAUAUAUUAUUAACUUAUAAUUAAACGGCCGCUGUAUUCUUGACGGUGAUAAUGUAGGAAAAUAAUUAGUCAAUUAAUUGUUGAACGUAGAUGAAUGAUUGAACGAAAUUUCCACUGUCUUAUUUAUAAUAUAUUGAAAUUAAUAUAAUAGUGAAGAAGCUAUUUAAAAUUGUAAGACGAAAAGACCCUGUAAAGCUUAACUAUAUAUAUAUUAAUAAUUUAUGCUAAUAUACGCAAUUAUAUUAGCACUAGAUUUAUUAAUUGGGUAGUUUGGUUGGGGCAACAACAUUUUAAAAUUAAAAAAUGUAUAUUAAAAUAAUAUUAUUAUUUAUUGUUUAAUUUAUAAAUUUAACAAUUAUAAUUUAGAUAUAAUGACCUAUCUUUAUACUAUAAAAUUUUAUGAGAUAAUAAAUAAAUAAAAGUUACUUCAGGGAUAACAGGUUAAUUUUAUUUGAAAGAUGAUAUUAAAAAUAAAGUUUGACACCUCGAUGUUGAAUUAAGUUAUCCUAGUGUUGCAGCAGAUACUAAGGGUUGGUCUGUUCGACCAUUAAAAACUUACAUGAUUUG